AUAAUUAAGGGGAGGAAAAGAAACCAACUCGGAUUCCCCUAGUAACGGCGAGUGAAGCGGGAAGAGCUCAUGUUGUAAAUCUCCAGCUUGCUGGCGAAUUGUAGUCUAAAGGUGCGUGCUCAGUCGUGGUCCCGGGCUAAGUCUGUUGGAAAACAGCAUCAUGGACGGUGACAAUCCGGUUCUUGCCUGGGGUCCCGCGGCGUACGAGCCGUUUCCGACGAGUCGUGUUGCUUGGGAUUGCAGCACUAAGUGGGUGGUAAAUUCCAUCUAAAGCUAAAUAUUGGUGGGAGACCGAUAGCGAACAAGUACCGUGAGGGAAAGAUGAAAAGACUUUUGAAAAGAGAGUAAAAUAGUACCUGAAACUGCUGAAAGGGAAGCGAUUGAAGUCAGUGUUGCUCCUGGUCUUUUUGCCGUCGCCCCCGUGGGGGUUGCGGCGUGGGGCCUGGAGCGUUUCAACAUGCGUUCUGUUCCGCGGGAAAUGUUCAGUGUGCUGGAACCUUCGGGGAAACGCACUGUUCUUGUCGUGGUUAGGACGGAGGACCUUUGCUCCUUUGACUGCGCGUUCCUCUCUCGGGUAUGCUGGUGUCUACUGCUUGCAGUUUUCAUUUUCAUGCUUGCGACUGUGCGUGUUAUUCAUGAGCGAACAUGAUGUUGAAGAAAUGGCUUUAAUUACCCCGU
RNAcentral lists this ribosomal RNA (678 nucleotides) under Heterosigma akashiwo. Its description in RNAcentral is "eukaryotic LSU rRNA". It matches the Rfam family "Eukaryotic large subunit ribosomal RNA", at positions 42 to 652 of the family's 3401-position model. The record is from RNAcentral. Lineage: Eukaryota; Raphidophyceae; Chattonellales; Chattonellaceae.